This 352-nucleotide long non-coding RNA is filed under the name Chrysolophus pictus (golden pheasant). RNAcentral's name for it is "lncRNA (ENSCPIG00010005507.1)". Lineage: Eukaryota; Metazoa; Chordata; Aves; Galliformes; Phasianidae. The record is from RNAcentral.
CCUGCGGGCGCUGAGGCGGUUCUGGCCGUGCGGGGCGCGUCGUGCUGCUCCGGACGGCUUUCGUUCCUCUGUACUCGGCGGAGUUUUUCUGAGCUGCCCUCAGGUGGGAUUUGGGGUGAUGAAUGUGCCUGCAACAGAAGUCCGCUGAGAUGGAGUCUGGGGACGAGAUCCCUCCUCUUGUGAUCCGUCAGCGCCUGAAGCAUUUCUGAAAGGAAACCGGUUGAACACGUGAGGGCUUCCUCUGGUGGAAAAGAACAAGAGGAAAUAAGACACUAGGGAAGCUAAUGUGAGACAGCAGUGCCCAAAACACUUUAAACACGACUCAUUUGGCUAACGAGGUAAGACAUCUGCA